UUCUAGGGAAAAGUGUUGGUGUUCACAAGUGCUGUUACUGCCACUGUGUCUGCAGGAUCCAUCUGAUUUCCCUCUGCCGACACAAUUCUCCCCAGAGGGGUUUUGGAAAUAAAAGAUAACAGCAGGCAACUGGUUCAUCUUUGAGGGAGA
Molecule: long non-coding RNA, 150 nt
Organism: Mobula hypostoma (lesser devil ray)
Lineage: Eukaryota; Metazoa; Chordata; Chondrichthyes; Myliobatiformes; Myliobatidae
Exons: 3
Source: RefSeq, a predicted model, not a curated record